CAGCCGCCGCGGGAAUGCGUAGGUGGCAAGCGUUGUCCGGAAUUAUUGGGCGUAAAGGGCUCGCAGGCGGUUUCUUAAGUCUGAUGUGAAAGCCCCCGGCUCAACCGGGGAGGGUCAUUGGAAACUGGGAAACUUGAGUGCAGAAGAGGAGAGUGGAAUUCCACGUGUAGCGGUGAAAUGCGUAGAGAUGUGGAGGAACACCAGUGGCGAAGGCGACUCUCUGGUCUGUAACUGACGCUGAGGAGCGAAAGCGUGGGGAGCGAACAGGAUUAGAGACCCCCGUAGUCCCUGUCUCUUAUAC
This 301-nucleotide ribosomal RNA is filed under the name uncultured bacterium. Its description in RNAcentral is "partial 16S ribosomal RNA". It matches the Rfam family "Bacterial small subunit ribosomal RNA", at positions 509 to 807 of the family's 1533-position model. The record is from RNAcentral.